CAGAUGAAUGUUCGAACUGUGCAAAAACUAAUGAUAGAUCGGUUGGCAAAGACUACGGAGCGGGAUGCGAGAGCACCGCGGUUCGACUCGUAGCAGCCACAACAUUUUUUUUCAUUUCCAAUACGAAUUGUGCAUGGAUAUGCAUGGGAUUGUGCGGCCGGGUUUGGGCAACAAAGCGCGUGGAUUUCAGGCGACGUGCGGAGAGCGAGCUCGUGUGGGCUGCAAGAGGAGAGCUAGUGCAAAGACGAACUAGGGAGCAAGAGCCUCGACGACUACGAGGGACUUCGGAAUAAGAAGAUCCAUUCUUAAUGCAUGAAACUAGUGAAACGGCAGGUAAAGAAAUGUCAGCUUUGUGGGCACGUGCAACCUCAGCGACUUCUUUUGCCAAGAGGAGUUACAUGUAGAGUGCUUCUUGGUCUAAUUGGAUGAACACAUGAGCCAAAACUUGUGCAGGAUUUAAAUUUCAUAUUAUACAUUAAUACAAUUAAAAGUAGGAAGACUGGUAGAUCUGCUAUCUAUAAGCGGAUAAUAACAUCCAGCGACGUUGGACUACUGUGAUUUGGAGCCAGGCCGGUAGCCAAAAGACACACAACAAACUAACGGGUUUAGAAAAAAAAAAGAAUACAGGUUAAGGUUCACCUAAAUGAAAUGGUUCAACAAACUGGUUAUUACAGCUGUAAAAAAUUCAAAAACAAAGGAAGACGUCAGAACAGAAGAGGAUAUUCGAACGUGAGAGGGAGGACGAAACUACUAUACACAAAUGAAAUAGAAGAUCUAUAAUAACGAUUACUUGCUCCCUAAUGUAACGAGCAACAAAAAUAGACUGAGAUUACUUGCUGCCUAAGAUAUUUUACGAAAUAUCAACAACUAACGAGUAGAUUAAACAAGAGCUUUAAUGCCGGCC
This 904-nucleotide long non-coding RNA is filed under the name Sorghum bicolor (sorghum). RNAcentral describes it as "long non-coding RNA (SBIC_LNC010705)". The record is from RNAcentral. Lineage: Eukaryota; Viridiplantae; Streptophyta; Magnoliopsida; Poales; Poaceae.